CAAACAAAUUCUUUUAGUUUUUGAAUCGUUUCAAACAAGUCAUUUUAGAGGAUGAUGGUGAUGAUUCAGAUGAUAGCAACAAAGAGCAUUAUCC
RNAcentral lists this microRNA precursor (94 nucleotides) under Medicago truncatula (barrel medic). RNAcentral describes it as "MIR5292 microRNA precursor family". It matches the Rfam family "MIR5292 microRNA precursor family". The record is from Rfam by way of RNAcentral. Lineage: Eukaryota; Viridiplantae; Streptophyta; Magnoliopsida; Fabales; Fabaceae.